GAUGAAGAACGCAGCGAAAUGCGAUAAGUAGUGUGAAUUGCAGAAUUCAGUGAAUCAUCGAAUCUUUGAACGCACAUUGCGCCCGCCAGUAUUCUGGCGGGCAUGCCUGUUCGUGCGUCAUUUCGACCCUCAAGCACAGCUUGGUGUUGGGACUCGCGUUAAUUCGCGUUCCCCAAAUUGAUUGGCGGUCACGUCGAGCUUCCAUAGCGUAGUAGUAAAACCCUCGUUACUGGUAAUCGUCGCGGCCACGCCGUUAAACCCCAACUUCUGAAUGUUGACCUCGGAUCAGGUAGGAAUACCCGCUGAACUUAAGCAUAUCAUAAGCGGAGGA
This 331-nucleotide unclassified non-coding RNA is filed under the name soil metagenome. Its description in RNAcentral is "partial contains 5.8S ribosomal RNA, internal transcribed spacer 2, and large subunit ribosomal RNA". The stretch from base 1 to 120 matches the Rfam family "5.8S ribosomal RNA", at positions 35 to 154 of the family's 154-position model. The record is from RNAcentral.